AUUGAACGCUGGCGGCAGGCCUAACACAUGCAAGUCGAACGAGUGGCGGACGGGUGAGUAAUGUCUGGGAAACUGCCUGAUGGAGGGGGAUAACUACUGGAAACGGUAGCUAAUACCGCAUACCAUCAGAUGUGCCCAGAUGGGAUUAGCUAGUGGGUGGUGUAACGGCUCACCAAGGCGACUAUCCCUAGCUGGUCUGAGAGGAUGACCAGCCGCACUGGGACGGAGGCACGGUCCAGACUCCUACGAGAGGCACCAGUGGGGAAUAGUGCGCAAUGGGCGCAAGCCUGAUGCAGCCAUGCCGCGUGUAUGAAGACGGCCUUCGGGUUGUAAAGUACUUUCAGCGGGGAGACGUUACCCGCAGAAGAAGCACCGGCUAACUCCGUGCCAGCAGCCGCGGUAAUAC
RNAcentral lists this ribosomal RNA (406 nucleotides) under uncultured bacterium. RNAcentral describes it as "partial 16S ribosomal RNA". It matches the Rfam family "Bacterial small subunit ribosomal RNA", at positions 30 to 526 of the family's 1533-position model. The record is from RNAcentral.